GUUUAAGAUUGCUAUGUUGUGCGUCGAGGAUGAAAGGUCUGAUAGGCCCACCAUGAGAGAAGUUGUUCACAUGCUCACUGAUCCUCCCCAGUGUGUCCCAAGCGUCAGCACCCUUUAAGCCCACUGGACUGUAAACGAAAUGUUUGCGGUAAUGAAACCGAAUAAAUCGUAAUAAGCUUUGUGAUUUGUGAAAUUUACAUUUGCUAUGUUGUGUCUUAUUUCCAUGGAUUGAAUCUAGACAAAGGUUUCUAUGAUCAAAAUUGAUGUGAAUAUGUAAGGUUUCG
RNAcentral lists this unclassified non-coding RNA (284 nucleotides) under Hevea brasiliensis (rubber tree). Lineage: Eukaryota; Viridiplantae; Streptophyta; Magnoliopsida; Malpighiales; Euphorbiaceae. The record is from RNAcentral.